AAAGUCCUGGGGCCCAAAGAAAGUUCAUCUAAUUCCACAGGUUAAAAACCCUGAAAAUGAAAACAUGACUAUUCUUCAGUUUGGAGUGGCUGAACUGUGAAGUAAAUUAACUACUGUUCAACAUCUAGCACUGGGGAGGAAGACACACUUUUAACAGGGAAGCGCCUGAGGAAAGAUACAGGUGUUUGAGGCUGGAAGGGAUCCUGAGAGGUCAUCACCCUGCCUUAAGGCAGAGUGAAUCUAAAGUCUCCUAGAGGAAAAUGAUGAAGAAUUUAAGAAUUCCACUACUCUUCUGCAGGACCACCCUCCUCAAUCCCCUGUUCCUGCUCCUCCAAACCAAAUCCAUCUUAGUAAGAGGACUCCUAGGAGACAGAACAAUAUCUGGAAAUAAGGAGAAACUAAGGAAUAUUCCUGGAAAGAAAGAAAGAAAAGCCUUGCAGAGGAGACAUCAAACUGGAUGA
RNAcentral lists this long non-coding RNA (461 nucleotides) under Vulpes vulpes (red fox). RNAcentral describes it as "lncRNA (ENSVVUG00000023806.1)". The record is from RNAcentral. Lineage: Eukaryota; Metazoa; Chordata; Mammalia; Carnivora; Canidae.